This 906-nucleotide long non-coding RNA is filed under the name Rattus norvegicus (Norway rat). RNAcentral describes it as "long non-coding RNA NONRATT023442". Lineage: Eukaryota; Metazoa; Chordata; Mammalia; Rodentia; Muridae. The record is from RNAcentral.
AGAACAGAGAUAGCCAUCUUUCCAGACCACUCCAGCCCCUUGUAGGUUCUUACCAUGGGGAUGGGGAACAGCCAGGCCUAUUGAGUCUGUGCUUGGAGAUUGGCAUCAGAGCCCUGAAGAGCAGCAGUGGCUUGCACACCCUCCUGCUGGCAUCACCACCCUGUGCAGUCGGGGAGGCCGGGGGGCUCAGGUCUCUGCAUCUGGUGGUCACUGCAGCGUCAGAUGAAUGACAGCGACCGUCUGCCAGGGCAGCACCUUUUAAACAUCCCCACAUCGACAGAGGGGCUUGAGUGAGAUUUGAGGUGUGCAGACCUGCAUGCUGCCAGCUGGCUUCGAGUCUCCAAAGUUUCAGAUUCUAUUUUUUUUUUUCAUGAGGAGGAGAACGUGAAGCCACGUCUGUGAUCUCAGCACUUGGGGGUGGGAGGCAGGAGCAUCAGGACUUCCUUCCACCCUCAGCUACAUGGCAAAUGCAGGGCUAGCCUAGGCUUCAUGAAACUGUCUCAAAGCAGUAAAGCGAAAAGAAUUAUUUGAACUUUGCUCUGAUGCAAAUUUUCAAUAGGAAAGUAAUGUCACCUACUGCCCAGCCCUCAGAUAUAUAAAUCUCUCCCUGAGAAGCCUUAUUUGUCAUGGGACCUAGCAUACAUUUUACAAUUAUAUCUCAUUUUGAGAAUCCUCGUAAAUAUUGACUGGGCAGAUGGCGGUGCCUACAGAGCACAAAACUUGAGGCGGGAAAGGCCUGUGGGAACCUUUGCGCUGCCAUUUUGUAGACUUAGACAGGCCAUUUAACCUUUCAAAGAUAGUUUCUGUACUUACAAGAUGACUACUAGUCGCUACCUCAUUCUCUUAAGAGUUCAGCUGCAUUCUGCAAAUAAAAUGCUUGAAAUGGUGCCUGGGGUACAAGAACCA